AGGUUGGGGUCUUCAGCCCUUGCAUGAGUGAUUUUGUGGCUGCCCUAGUUGGUUAGGGUGCUGGAGGGGUUGUUCCUCUCAUCUGGCUUGCGGAGUCCUGCUUUUGCUGUUCCUUGGCAGUGGCUUCACUUGAAGUUCCUUGUGAAUGACUGACUUGAGGGAAGAGAAUGUAGAGGUUGAUGUCAGCCUCCUUCUGCUCUGCAGGGGGCUAUGGAUGGAGCAUGUUCUUCCUGGACUGCUCUAGGACUGCUGGAGAAAACUGUAACCAAUCCACCCAAUCCCUUUGAGAUGGAAGUGCAUUCCUGGGAAGCUGGAGGAGCUGGAUGAAGAAGAGAUCGGGAAAAAAGCCAGAAGACAACGGAGUUUGGCGUUUUGACCCCUGCUGCUGAAAAGAGCCAGACACUUCUUCGUGAUUGACCCAGGUGCCUGGGAUGAAAGCAGGCUGCCUCCGAGGACCAGGCUGCCUUCUUCGGGGCGCGGAGAGCUGGUGUUGCUGGAGGUGCGUGACCGUCUGACGUGUUUACAUCCUGGACUGCUGAAGUAAUAUCUGUAGGCCAUCACUUUGGCUUGAAAAUUGAUUUUAUUAGGUGAAAAUGAACUGAAGAAAUGAACUGCAAGCCCCAUUGCUGCGCUUACAAAGUGCGUUAUCCAGCCUUAUGUGCCCGGACGUAAUGAAUACACAGAGACCACCUACUUUGAACACUCCUCUGAUUUUUCCAGUUUCUUUAAAGUCUAAUAAUAUUGGCGAUGCAGGAUGAAAGCAAUUGUGAAAAGUGAAAAAGUCCUUGUUUGCCUAUCCUGUCAUCUGGGGUCUGUUUCACUGAAGCUGAAAAUGAAGGUAACUUGCCUUAAUGCAGCAGGACAGCUUUUAGUCUAAUUGAACCAUGCAUCGGCAAGAACCCAGUAUUGAGCCUUCAGUCUCGGGUUAAUCCCUUUUAUUGGCUUGGGUGCAGGUUAUCAUCCCUUCUUAUCAAACAAGGACCCCUUUCUUCUCGCUCAGGAUCAGGACUAAAAGCCAGUUGAGAAAGAGCUGACAAAUUCAAAGCGGUAAGCCUCCCCCCGCUCCGAAACUGCCCCGUGCACCCACGAGGCGCUCUGCGGCACACACACGCUUCAGCUGCAAGGCUCGGGUGCGUUUUUGUUGCUGGGAAGCUCCCUCCCUCUCUUCCUCCCCUUUCAGCUGUGAUUUUUGUAGCAGCAGCUUCAAAGUGCACGGACUUGGUUCAAUUGUUUUGCCCAGCGUUCGCCGAUCAGUAUGUCAGAUUAAAUUUAUGGGCAGUUGACCAGUGCUUAGUAUUUGAACACCUGCUUCAACCUCCUCGUCUGGCACAGCUCUGUGAGCAGAGGUUUUAUAACAAGGAGGAGAAGAGGAGGAAAAGUCAGCCUUAUUAAAGGUCAGAGCAGCCUAACAGGAGAUACAAUAAAUGAAGAUCUUUAUGAAGGCCUGAGACCGUCAUGCUUCCGCAGCAGGGUUCGUCUCCCUUUCCUCUGGAACAUCUGGUCUGUGACUCCCCGAAACGGGAUACUGAGCGAGGUGAACCCUGGCUCUGAUCCGGUUCGGCGCUUCAGUUCCCCCUUGCACCCUCCAAGCUCCAGCAGUCAGCAGCAAUUUGAGGUGUGUGAGAAGUGUGUGACCCAGCAAAAUUUUGAUGCCUCUGAAAGAAUCCGCUCCUUUGUCUGCUUCUGGGAGGUUUGGCCAAAUUCUUCCCCUCGUCGCUUGCAUCCCCUUCUCACUCUUUCCCUGCAGGCACUCUAAAAGAAAAGCUUGCAAUAUCUUAAAAAACUUCCUUUCCCUCCAUAUUGUUCUUUGGUGAAAGCAUAGUGAAGCUGGGAUCUUUUUUUUUUGUUUUCUUUUUUUUUUUUUUUUUUCAUACAAAACAGCACAAUGCCUGCUGGCCUGGGUAUCCGAAAUAUGGUUUUAUUGUUGUGGAAAGGCCUUAAUGAGGAAGAAAAAAACCCUAUUUAAUAAAGUGCAUCAAGUGCCCUUGGGAAAAAUUAGCACACAAUGACUUCUUGUGCUGCCAAUUGAAACAACAGAUUGGUGUAGUGAUAGGCUUUACAGGAAAUAUUAAAAAAGCACAGAUGGCUCAAGUUUACAUGUUUACAGUGGAGUUGGAACAGCAGCUAAAACCUUCCAGUGUAGUAUAAUUUACUAGAAGGUCAUAGACCUAGUGGUUAAGAAUGAACCUGAAGACUAUUGUAAACACACUAUUAGGGUUUGUAGAGGUCUAAUCCCAGCAUUUUUCAUUCUUUUCUGCAAUAUUAGAAGCAACUGGCUGCAGUGUUAGUGAAAAGAGAUACUUCAAGCAUGGAAAAAUGUGACAUUCCACUGGCACUUGUGGGGCUGAGCUGUUGCAGGAGCUGGAAGAGGGUUAUGCAAUUGCUACUGUUACUAUGUAAUUAGAAGCUCCUUGGCACUAAUCGGCGAUUCAGCUCACAAUGUGAUUAAAAAAAAAAAAAAAAUACAUACUGAAAAUGUAGCUAGAAACAAGCUGCUUCAGCAAUUCCGGGAGGAUGGGCUGUGCCCUUAGGAGCCGUGGUUCACAGCUCUCGAGGACAGCUGGCCAGAGGAGGAGAGACCCCUGGGCUCCGGGGCAAGUCCUCGCUCUGCCAGAGCUUCCUAUAAGGCCCAGGCCAAGCUGGUGAGGAUCUUCCCCUAUUUAGAUGCCUAGAUGAAAUGCUAGAGCCCUUUCUUUAUUUGAAAGUUUGCUGCAUCUGCAGUGGGAUCUAGUAGAAAUGUGGCCACAGCAGGUAGCAGGGCUCUCAGCAGGGAUGCCUUGAGCUUCCCAGGCAUAUUUUUCAUCAUCUGUUGCCUCUUUUGCUUGUUCUCUUUGUUCAGACUGUCAGCAGUUCAGGACAGGGAUUGUAACAUCCACAAUCCAGACAGGAACUGAGUUUUAGGAAGGCCUGUUGCAGUUUGUAGUGUAACAGGUAAAAUAAACAGUAAAAUAAAUAGUGAAAAGGUAAUAAAAUAGGGUCACCAAAUGCAUGGGUGAGCCCUUGCUAGCAGAGGACCAACUGCCUUUGAUGACAGGUGUCCUUCAAGCAUUUGAUUGACACGGCUUGUUCCCUACAGAGAUUAGCAACCUGGAUUAAUCAAGCAUCUCCUUACCUUAUGACAAUUUAAUGUGGAACCACGUUCUGCCUCCCCUGCUGUUUGAGCUAUUUUGUUUACGUAAAACAAUACCUAGCCUGUGGAAAUAGGACAAGCAGCUAGUCUGGCCUAGACACCGAAUGUAAAUCUGAAUUGUAGAAAGCUCUAAACAAACACACAACAAAAUCUAGCUCGUAUUUCCCUUCUCAACCAGUUUUCAAAGCCCUAUGCAAAGCAGUUCUGCAUUGUUACCGCCUUCCGACAGAUGGACAGACUGAGAUACAAAGAGAUGAAGUGAUUUGCUAGAAGAGUGAGAAAGUUCGGACUCAAAAACAGGUUUCUUGAUUUCCCAGUCAAAUGUUCUGUCCUUUGGACCACAACCACUGGGUUGCAAUCAGCAGAGUGCUUAUCUGGCAUAUUUAAAUGU
Anas platyrhynchos (mallard) is the source of this 3521-nucleotide non-coding RNA. NCBI's taxonomy places the organism in Eukaryota, Metazoa, Chordata, Aves, Anseriformes, Anatidae. The record is from RefSeq and is a predicted model, not a curated record.